Molecule: ribosomal RNA, 302 nt
Filed under: uncultured bacterium
Lineage: Bacteria
Description: bacterial SSU rRNA
Rfam family: Bacterial small subunit ribosomal RNA
Source: RNAcentral
AUUGAACGCUGGCGGCAUGCUUUACACAUGCAAGUCGAACGGCAGCACGGGGGCAACCCUGGUGGCGAGUGGCGAACGGGUGAGUAACACAUCGGAACGUGCCCAGUUGUGGGGGAUAACCUAUCGAAAGGUAGGCUAAUACCGCAUGAGCUCGGCAAGAGGAAAGCGGGGGACUCAGCGAUGGGCCUCGCGCGACUGGAGCGGCCGAUGUCCGAUUAGCUUAGNGGGUAGGGGUAAAGGCUUACCAAGGCGACGAUCGGUAGCUGGUCUGAGAGGAUGAUCAGCCACACUGGGACUGAGAC